Molecule: ribosomal RNA, 500 nt
Filed under: uncultured bacterium
Lineage: Bacteria
Description: bacterial SSU rRNA
Rfam family: Bacterial small subunit ribosomal RNA
Source: RNAcentral
AUGAACGCUAGCGACAGGCUUAACACAUGCAAGUCGAGGGGUAACAGGGUAGCAAUACCGCUGACGACCGGCGCACGGGUGAGUAACGCGUAUGCAACCUGCCUAUAACUGGGGAAUAGCUCCCUGAAAGGGGGAAUUAACACCGCAUAACACUAUUGAUUCGCAUGGAUUAGUAGUUAAAUGUAGCGAUACAGGUUAUAGAUGGGCAUGCGUGACAUUAGCUAGUUGGUGAGGUAACGGCUCACCAAGGCUACGAUGUCUAGGGGUUCUGAGAGGAAGGUCCCCCACACUGGUACUGAGACACGGACCAGACUCCUACGGGAGGCAGCAGUGAGGAAUAUUGGUCAAUGGGCGCAAGCCUGAACCAGCCAUGUCGCGUGCAGGAAGACUGACCCCUAUGGGUUGUAAACUGUCUUUUAUAGUAGAAGAAACACAUCUACGUGUAGAUGUCUGCCAGUAUACUAUGAAUAAGCAUCGGCUAACUCCGUGCCAGCAGCUGC